UGUGUGUGUGUGUGUGUGUGUGUGUGUGUGUGUGUGUGUGUGUGUGUGUGUGUGUGUGUGAAUUAAAGAGUCUGUCUAGCUCAGUAGUCUGCAUAUUAGUUGCAGUAGUUGGCGCACCUCUCCUAUCUCUGAUUGUUCUAGGUGUCUUUUGCCAGAGGUUACCUCAGCAUAUGUAGGCUGAUGAUCUGAAUGAUACAUGGUGUGGACUGCAUCAUGUGGUGUACUUCUCUGAAGGACAGUGUUCUGUCCGACACUGGAGUAGUGAUCAGAGCUGUGUUGUGAUGGGCCAGGUCCAGUAGAGCUGUGUUGUGAUGGGCCAGGUCUAGUAGAGCUGUGUUGUGAUGGGCCAGGUCCAGUAGAGCUGUGUUGUGAUGGGCCAGGUCCAGUAGAGCUGUGUUGUGAUGGGCCAGGUCUAGUAGAGCUGUGUUGUGAUGGGCCAGGUCCAGUAGAGCUGUGUUGUGAUGGGCCAGGUCCAGUAGAGCUGUGUUGUGAUGGGCCAGGUCCAGUAGAGCUGUGUUGUGAUGGGCCUGGUCUAGUAGAGCUGUGUUGUGAUGGGCCUGGUCUAGUAGAGCUGUGUUGUGAUGGGCCGGGUCUAGUAGAGCUGUGUUGUGAUGGGCCGGGUCUAGUAGAGCUGUGUUGUGAUGGGCCGGGUCUAGUAGAGCUGUGUUGUGAUGGGCCAGGUCUAGUAGAGCUGUGUUGUGAUGGGCCUGGUCUAGUAGAG
This 721-nucleotide long non-coding RNA is filed under the name Salmo salar (Atlantic salmon). RNAcentral describes it as "lncRNA (ENSSSAG00000092721.1)". Lineage: Eukaryota; Metazoa; Chordata; Actinopteri; Salmoniformes; Salmonidae. The record is from RNAcentral.